AAUUUUUCUCAAUGGGGGAAACCCUGAAGGAGCGACGCCGCGUGGAGGAUGAAGGUUUUCGGAUUGUAAACUCCUGUCAUUGGGGAACAAUUCCACGAGUAGUAACUGACUUGUGGUUGAUAGUACCCGAAGAGGAAGGGACGGCUAACUCUGUGCCAGCAGCCGCGGUAAUACAGAGGUCCCAAGCGUUGUUCGGAUUCAUUGGGCGUAAAGGGUGCGUAGGCGGUGAGGUAAGUUGGAUGUGAAAUCCCGGGGCUCAACCCCGGAACUGCAUUCAAUACUGCUUUGCUAGAGUACUGGAGAGGAGAUUGGAAUUCACGGUGUAGCAGUGAAAUGCGUAGAUAUCGUGAGGAAGACCAGUGGCGAAGGCGAAUCUCUGGACAGUUACUGACGCUGAGGCACGAAGGCUAGGGGAGCAAACGGG
RNAcentral lists this ribosomal RNA (424 nucleotides) under uncultured bacterium. RNAcentral describes it as "bacterial SSU rRNA". It matches the Rfam family "Bacterial small subunit ribosomal RNA", at positions 360 to 776 of the family's 1533-position model. The record is from RNAcentral.